RNAcentral lists this ribosomal RNA (253 nucleotides) under uncultured bacterium. RNAcentral describes it as "partial 16S ribosomal RNA". It matches the Rfam family "Bacterial small subunit ribosomal RNA", at positions 524 to 776 of the family's 1533-position model. The record is from RNAcentral.
UACGGGGGGGGCAAGCGUUGUUCGGAAUUACUGGGCGUAAAGGGCUCGUAGGCGGCCAACUAAGUCGGAUGUGAAAUCCCCAGGCUUAACUUGGGAACUGCAUCCGAUACUGGAUGGCUUGAAUCCGGGAGAGGGAUGCGGAAUUCCAGGUGUAGCGGUGAAAUGCGUAGAUAUCUGGAGGAACACCGGUGGCGAAGGCGGCAUCCUGGACCGGCAUUGACGCUGAGGAGCGAAAGCCAGGGGAGCAAACGGG